RNAcentral lists this ribosomal RNA (943 nucleotides) under uncultured bacterium. RNAcentral's name for it is "bacterial SSU rRNA". It matches the Rfam family "Bacterial small subunit ribosomal RNA", at positions 22 to 974 of the family's 1533-position model. The record is from RNAcentral.
UGCUAGAGCGACGCUGGCGGCACGCCUAACACAUGCAAGUCGAGCGAGAAAGUGACUUCGGUCGCGAGUAAAGCGGCGAACGGGUGAGUACAACGUGGAUAAUCUACCCUAGGGUCUGGGACAACCCCGAGAAAUCGGGACUAAUACCGGAUAAGACCACAGUAUCCGAGGAUACAGUGGUAAAAGAUUUAUCGCCUUUGGAUGAGUCCACGCCCCAUCAGGUAGUUGGUAAGGUAAAAGCUUACCAAGCCUAAGACGGGUAGCCGGCCUUAGCGGGUGAACGGCCACAUGGGGACUGAGACACGGCCCUGACUCCUACGGGAGGCAGCAGUGGGGAAUAUUGGGCAAUGGGCGAAAGCCUGACCCAGCGAUGCCGCGUGAGGGAUGAAGGCCUUCGGGUCGUAAACCUCUGUCAGGAGGGACGAUGGGACACUUGUGUCUUGACGGUACCUCCAGAGGAAGCCCCGGCUAACUCCGUGCCAGCAGCCGCGGUAAUACGGAGGGGGCAAGCGUUGCUCGGAAUUACUGGGCGUAAAGGGUCCGCAGGCUGUCAGGUAAGUUGGUUGUGAAAGCUCAAGGCUUAACCUUGAAAUUGCAUCCAAAACUGCCUGACUAGAGUCCAAGAGAGGUUGGCGGAAUUCCCGGUGUAGCGGUGAAAUGCAUAGAUAUCGGGAGGAACACCAGAGGCGAAGGCGGCCAACUGGCUUGGAACUGACGCUCAGGGACGAAAGCGUGGGUAGCAAACCGGAUUAGAUACCCGGGUAGUCCACGCCCUAAACGAUGGAUGCUAGGUAUGGGGAAUUUAUUUCUCCUUGCCGUAGUUAACGCAUUAAGCAUCCCGCCUGGGGAGUACGGUCGCAAGGCUGAAACUCAAAGGAAUUGGCGGGGGCCCGCACAAGCGGUGGAGCACGUGGUUUAAUUCGAUGUUAAGCGAAAACCUUAC